GACGAACGCUGGCGGCGUGCCUAAUACAUGCAAGUCGAGCGAGGCCCAUCCGGUGGCAACACCGGGGAAGGCCGAGCGGCGAACGGGUGAGUAACACGUGAGCAACCUGCCCCGAAGUCUGGAAUAACAUCGGGAAACCGGUGCUAAUACCGGAUCGCCCCACCUGACCGCAUGAUCGGGUGAGGAAAGAUUUAUCGCUUCGGGAGGGGCUCGCGGCCUAUCAGCUAGUUGGUGGGGUAACGGCCUACCAAGGCGUCGACGGGUAGCUGGUCUGAGAGGACGACCAGCCACACUGGGACUGAGACACGGCCCAGACUCCUACGGGAGGCAGCAGUAGGGAAUCUUGCGCAAUGGGCGGAAGCCUGACGCAGCAACGCCGCGUGGGGAUGACGGCC
Molecule: ribosomal RNA, 395 nt
Filed under: uncultured bacterium
Lineage: Bacteria
Description: bacterial SSU rRNA
Rfam family: Bacterial small subunit ribosomal RNA
Source: RNAcentral